CUUUUGGAAAUGCUUGGAAUGCAAGUGUCAACAAUACUAGAAGAUAUUAUGAAAGUAAAAUCUUGUGACCAUGGUGAAACUUCCUAUGGUAGAAAAUGUAUUUUUUUUUCUUUUUUUUUUUUUUCCUAUUUUCUUUUUCAAUAUUCUCUUGCAGAUCAUCACGUUAGAAGUGGUCCUGUAUCCUGACCAGGAGGAACUAAUUGUUAACUGCACAGAACAAAACAACUGUUCCAUUGCAACAGUUCUAAUUAGAAGUGAUCAGCAAGAAGCUGUGAGAAGAUAUUGAAAAGGAAUCCAAGUGGGGGAAGAGAGAAAUAACUUCUCUACUACAACACGCCCAU
RNAcentral lists this long non-coding RNA (341 nucleotides) under Anas platyrhynchos platyrhynchos (common mallard). RNAcentral describes it as "lncRNA (ENSAPLG00000018247.1)". Lineage: Eukaryota; Metazoa; Chordata; Aves; Anseriformes; Anatidae. The record is from RNAcentral.